Molecule: ribosomal RNA, 301 nt
Filed under: uncultured bacterium
Lineage: Bacteria
Description: partial 16S ribosomal RNA
Rfam family: Bacterial small subunit ribosomal RNA
Source: RNAcentral
CAGUCGCCGCGGUAAUACGAAGGGGGCUAGCGUUGCUCGGAAUUACUGGGCGUAAAGGGAGCGUAGGCGGACAUUUAAGUCAGGGGUGAAAUCCCAGAGCUCAACUCUGGAACUGCCUUUGAUACUGGGUGUCUUGAGUGUGAUAGAGGUAUGUGGAACUCCGAGUGUAGAGGUGAAAUUCGUAGAUAUUCGGAAGAACACCAGUGGCGAAGGCGGCUCACUGGUCCGGAACUGACGCUGAGGCACGACAGCGUGGGGAGCAAACAGGAUUAGAUACCCCUGUAGUCCCUGUCUCUUAUAC